This 301-nucleotide ribosomal RNA is filed under the name uncultured bacterium. Its description in RNAcentral is "partial 16S ribosomal RNA". It matches the Rfam family "Bacterial small subunit ribosomal RNA", at positions 509 to 809 of the family's 1533-position model. The record is from RNAcentral.
CAGCAGCCGCGGUAAUACGUAGGGUGCAAGCGUUAAUCGGAAUUACUGGGCGUAAAGCGUGCGCAGGCGGUUAUAUAAGACAGAUGUGAAAUCCCCGGGCUCAACCUGGGAACUGCAUUUGUGACUGUAUAGCUAGAGUACGGCAGAGGGGGAUGGAAUUCCGCGUGUAGCAGUGAAAUGCGUAGAUAUGCGGAGGAACACCGAUGGCGAAGGCAAUCCCCUGGGCCUGUACUGACGCUCAUGCACGAAAGCGUGGGGAGCAAACAGGAUUAGAUACCCCCGUAGUCCCUGUCUCUUAUAU